This 492-nucleotide ribosomal RNA is filed under the name uncultured bacterium. RNAcentral describes it as "partial 16S ribosomal RNA". It matches the Rfam family "Bacterial small subunit ribosomal RNA", at positions 29 to 507 of the family's 1533-position model. The record is from RNAcentral.
AGUGAACGCUGGCGGUAGGCCUAACACAUGCAAGUCGAACGGCAGCACAGUAAGAGCUUGCUCUUACGGUUGGCGAGUGGCGGACGGGUGAGGAAUACAUCGGCAUCUACUUUUUCUUGGGGGAUAACGUGGGGAAACUUACGCUAAUACCGCAUACGACCUACGGGUGAAAUCAGGAGAUCUUCGGACCUUGCCCGAUUGAAUGAGCCGAUGUCGGAUUAGCUAGUUGGCGGGGUAAAGGCACACCAAGGCGACGAUACGUAGCUGGUCUGAGAGGAUGAUCAGCCACACUGGAACUGAGACACGGUCCAGACUCCUACGGGAGGCAGCAGUGGGGAAUAUUGGACAAUGGGCGCAAGCCUGAUCCAGCCAUACCGCGUGGGUGAAGAAGGCCUUCGGGUUGUAAAGCCCUUUUGUUGGGAAAGAAAAGCAGCAGGUUAAUACCCCGCUGUUCUGACGGUACCCAAAGAAUAAGCACCGGCUAACUUCGUG